Molecule: ribosomal RNA, 253 nt
Filed under: uncultured bacterium
Lineage: Bacteria
Description: partial 16S ribosomal RNA
Rfam family: Bacterial small subunit ribosomal RNA
Source: RNAcentral
UACGUAGGGGGCAAGCGUUAUCCGGAUUUACUGGGUGUAAAGGGAGCGUAGACGGCAGCGCUAGUCUGGAGUGAAAUGCCGGGGCCCAACCCCGGAACUGCUUUGGAAACUGUGCAGCUCGAGUGCAGGAGAGGUAAGCGGAAUUCCUAGUGUAGCGGUGAAAUGCGUAGAUAUUAGGAGGAACACCAGUGGCGAAGGCGGCUUACUGGACUGUAACUGACGUUGAGGCUCGAAAGCGUGGGGAGCAAACAGG